Molecule: long non-coding RNA, 229 nt
Filed under: Dermacentor andersoni
Lineage: Eukaryota; Metazoa; Arthropoda; Arachnida; Ixodida; Ixodidae
Description: uncharacterized LOC126545934
Source: RNAcentral
CAUCUGCCUAUCUCAUAAUUAUUCCAGAUACCUCGUCGGCAUAUCAUAAGAGGAGGGCACACGCCAGCAAAUGAACCGGACCAACGGUUCCUGCUCGAAAGCUCUGGUGGCGUGCGCAGAGACUGCGUCAUUCAAGAAGAAAUGGAGCUCUCUCCUGUGAUGGCGGAAGACAGACAGGGUCAUGUUCUGGCUGAGGUUCAUGUUCUUUGAAUACACAUUUGAGAAUUGA